This 614-nucleotide ribosomal RNA is filed under the name Niallia circulans. RNAcentral's name for it is "bacterial SSU rRNA". It matches the Rfam family "Bacterial small subunit ribosomal RNA", at positions 93 to 693 of the family's 1533-position model. The record is from RNAcentral. Lineage: Bacteria; Bacillati; Bacillota; Bacilli; Caryophanales; Bacillaceae.
UAGCGGCGGACGGGUGAGUAACACGUGGGCAACCUGCCUGUAAGACUGGGAUAACUUCGGGAAACCGGAGCUAAUACCGGAUAAUCCUUUUCCUCUCAUGAGGAAAAGCUGAAAGACGGUUUACGCUGUCACUUACAGAUGGGCCCGCGGCGCAUUAGCUAGUUGGUGAGGUAACGGCUCACCAAGGCGACGAUGCGUAGCCGACCUGAGAGGGUGAUCGGCCACACUGGGACUGAGACACGGCCCAGACUCCUACGGGAGGCAGCAGUAGGGAAUCUUCCGCAAUGGACGAAAGUCUGACGGAGCAACGCCGCGUGAGUGAUGAAGGUUUUCGGAUCGUAAAACUCUGUUGUUAGGGAAGAACAAGUACAAGAGUAACUGCUUGUACCUUGACGGUACCUAACCAGAAAGCCACGGCUAACUACGUGCCAGCAGCCGCGGUAAUACGUAGGUGGCAAGCGUUGUCCGGAAUUAUUGGGCGUAAAGCGCGCGCAGGCGGUCCUUUAAGUCUGAUGUGAAAGCCCACGGCUCAACCGUGGAGGGUCAUUGGAAACUGGGGGACUUGAGUGCAGAAGAGAAGAGUGGAAUUCCACGUGUACCGGUGAAAUGCGUAC